UGGGGAAUAUUGCACAAUGGAGGGAACUCUGAUGCAGCGACGCCGCGUGAACGAAGAAGGCUUUCGAGUCGUAAAGUUCUUUUAUAUGGGAAGAUAAUGACGGUACCAUAAGAAAAAGCCCCGGCUAACUACGUGCCAGCAGCCGCGGUAAUACGUAGGGGGCUAGCGUUGUCCGGAAUCACUGGGCGUAAAGGGUUCGCAGGCGGAAAUGCAAGUCAGGUGUAAAAGGCAGUAGCUUAACUACUGUAAGCAUUUGAAACUGCAUAUCUUGAGAAGAGUAGAGGUAAGUGGGAUUUUUAGUGUAGCGGUGAAAUACGUAGAUAUUAAAAAGAAUACCGGUGGCGAAGGCGACUUACUGGGCUCAUUCUGACGCUGAGGAACGAAAGCGUAGGUAGCAAACAGG
RNAcentral lists this ribosomal RNA (403 nucleotides) under Verrucomicrobiota bacterium. RNAcentral describes it as "Verrucomicrobia bacterium partial 16S ribosomal RNA". It matches the Rfam family "Bacterial small subunit ribosomal RNA", at positions 355 to 776 of the family's 1533-position model. The record is from RNAcentral. Lineage: Bacteria; Pseudomonadati; Verrucomicrobiota.